Molecule: ribosomal RNA, 32 nt
Filed under: Aureobasidium pullulans
Lineage: Eukaryota; Fungi; Ascomycota; Dothideomycetes; Dothideales; Saccotheciaceae
Also listed under: 2 other names
Description: partial 18S ribosomal RNA
Source: RNAcentral
GGUUUCCGUAGGUGAACCUGCGGAAGGAUCAU